GACAAAGGCUCCUGAUCUGAAAGGAAGUGGUGUCACCAAAGGGCAGAUCUGCAGUUUUCUUCAAUGAGCUAGGAGGGAAAUGGGGACGAAACUCAUCGCAUCUGUCCCCAGAAGAACCAAACGUGCAUUGAAGCCAUUGCUGCAGAGAGAGGAAGACUGAGCACUUUAGUGUCUAAGCUCCUGUUAUAACAGGGUCUAUCCACCACUGCAUGCUGGAGUGAACAACAUAACAGUGAGAGAGAGAACUGCUACCUACCGUGCAGAAGGAAUUGAGCUGGCUAGGUUCUGAAUGCAUGCAGAGUUGAAUAACAUGAAAACAGCCAAAGAAAAAUCAUCAUGCAAGGAAAAUACAAUUGGAAUGCCAAAGCAAUCCCGGAGCUGUCUAACAUGCUAGCUUUUACCUGCUGUUCCGUAAGUUAGCUUUUGAAAAAAAAAAUUCACAUCAAUCCAUGUUCAUCAUUAAAAUUUUUAAAAAAGAUUUUGACGUUGUGUUGGCAAAUGCAAUGAGAUAUUCUUACAACGCAACUGUACUCAAAAGAAAUUAAAAUACAUCUCCAAUUUUCAA
Molecule: long non-coding RNA, 565 nt
Filed under: Equus caballus (horse)
Lineage: Eukaryota; Metazoa; Chordata; Mammalia; Perissodactyla; Equidae
Description: lncRNA (ENSECAG00000043907.1)
Source: RNAcentral